This 200-nucleotide ribosomal RNA is filed under the name uncultured Glomus. RNAcentral describes it as "partial small subunit ribosomal RNA". It matches the Rfam family "Eukaryotic small subunit ribosomal RNA", at positions 591 to 797 of the family's 1831-position model. The record is from RNAcentral. Lineage: Eukaryota; Fungi; Glomeromycota; Glomeromycetes; Glomerales; Glomeraceae. RNAcentral also lists the same sequence under 1 other name.
CCAAUAGCGUAUAUUAAAGUUGUUGCAGUUAAAAAGCUCGUAGUUGAAUUUCGAGAUCAAUUUGUUGGUCGUGCCUCGGUACGUACUGGCAAUUUUGGUUUCUCCCUUCUGAAGAACCAUGAUGUCAUUAAUUUGGUGUCAUGGGGAAUCAGGACCGUUACUUUGAAAAAAUUAGAGUGUUUAAAGCAGGCUCGCGCUUG